Molecule: long non-coding RNA, 508 nt
Filed under: Helianthus annuus (common sunflower)
Lineage: Eukaryota; Viridiplantae; Streptophyta; Magnoliopsida; Asterales; Asteraceae
Description: hypothetical non coding rna
Source: RNAcentral
GUGACCAGGAGGUCACCCCACGCAUGACAAGGAAGAAGGAGAAGGAGACUGAUUUCACAUGAGGAUCACGAAAUUGGAGGGUUGAAGUCUCGAUUAUGUCUUCUUUGCUUGAUUCUAAGGCUCUAGUGACAUAACGUUUGGAUGGCAACGGGUCAAACGAGUGAUAAAGCAACAACAUUCCUACGGGCAAAGGUGAUAAGUCAUGAAAAUCAACGGGUGACUUGAACCAGAAUCAUGAAAGAAGAAAACAUCUCACAAGCACCAAUAAUUCGAUUCGGGUGGUAGGAAGGCGAAAGUGAUCAAGUUUUUGAAGCGGGUCAACGAUGUGAAGAUUUAGUGAUGCCUUGUUCACUAAGUAAUAUGGGUUUUCUUAUUGGGUCAACUUGACUUAGUUAUUUGCAUUUUAGAGUUUAACUUUAAUGUUUAUUUUAGCCAAGUGCUAGUAUGUCAAUGUAGUAGUGGGUUAUAUUUGUUUUAUAAAAACCUUGGUUAAAAAGCAGGUAUUGUU